GCAGCAGUAGGGAAUUUUCGGCAAUGGACGGAAGUCUGACCGAGCAACGCCGCGUGAAUGAUGAAGUAUUUCGGUAUGUAAAGUUCUUUUAUUUGGGAAGAAAAAACAAAUUGACGGUACCAAAUGAAUAAGCCCCGGCUAACUACGUGCCAGCAGCCGCGGUAAUACGUAGGGGGCAAGCGUUAUCCGGAAUUAUUGGGCGUAAAGGGUGCGUAGGCGGGUUAUCAAGUCUUUGGUUAAAAUGCGGUGCUCAACGCCGUAGUGCCAAAGAAACUGAUAGUCUAGAGUAUGGUAGAAGUGAGUGGAACUCCAUGUGUAGCGGUAAAAUGCGUAAAUAUAUGGAAGAACACCAGUGGCGAAGGCGGCUCACUAGGCCAAUACUGACGCUGAGACACGAAAGCGUGGGGAGCAAACAGGAUUAGAUACCCUGGUAGUCCACGCCCUAAACGAUGAGUACUAAGUGUAGCCAGAAGGCUGUGCUGAAGUUAACGCAUUAAGUACUCCGCCUGAGUAGUACGUACGCAAGUAUGAAACUUAAAGGAAUUGACGGGAUCCCGCACAAGCGGUGGAGCAUGUUGUUUAAUUCGACGAUACGCGAAGAACCUUACCAGGUCUUGACAUACUCGGCAAAUCUAUAGAGAUAUAGAGGAGGUUAACCGGGAGACAGGUGGUGCAUGGUUGUCGUCAGCUCGUGUCGUGAGAUGUUAGGUUAAGUCCUGCAACGAGCGCAACCCUUAUUGCUAGUUACCAUCAUUAAGUUGGGGACUCUAGCGAGACUGCCGGUGAUAAACCGGAGGAAGGCGGGGAUGACGUCAAAUCAUCAUGCCCUUUAUGACCUGGGCUACAAACGUGCUACAAUGGCUGACACAAAGAGAAGCGAGCUCGCGAGAGUAAGCAAACCUCAGAAAAGCAGUCUCAGUUCGGAUUGAAGUCUGCAACUCGACUUCAUGAAGUUGGAAUCGCUAGUAAUCGCGAAGCAGAAUGUCGCGGUGAAUACGUUCCCGGGAUUUGUACACACCGCCCGUCAAACCAUGAGAGUUUGUAAUACCCGAAGCCGGUGGCCGAACCGCAAGGAAGGAGCCGUCUAAGGUAGGACAGAUGAUUGGGGUUAAGUCGUAACAAGGUAUCCCUAC
This 1133-nucleotide ribosomal RNA is filed under the name human gut metagenome. RNAcentral's name for it is "bacterial SSU rRNA". It matches the Rfam family "Bacterial small subunit ribosomal RNA", at positions 348 to 1505 of the family's 1533-position model. The record is from RNAcentral.